Molecule: RNase P RNA, 444 nt
Filed under: Limisphaerales bacterium
Lineage: Bacteria; Pseudomonadati; Verrucomicrobiota; Verrucomicrobiia; Limisphaerales
Description: Verrucomicrobia subdivision 3 bacterium (hot springs metagenome) RNase P RNA component class A
Rfam family: Bacterial RNase P class A
About the family: Ribonuclease P (RNase P) is a ubiquitous endoribonuclease, found in archaea, bacteria and eukarya as well as chloroplasts and mitochondria.
Source: RNAcentral
UUGGAAGGGCGGAGAAUCGCCUUUGCAGGUGUGAAACUUUUUCAUACCUGCGAAGGAGGAAAGUCCGAACACCACAGGGCGCGAUGCCGCGUAACUCCGGGUGUUGCCGGGGAUACACGCGGGCGGCCACGCCGCGAGGCGUGCCGACGGACAGUGCCACAGAAAACAGACCGCCCGGGUUGCAGGCCAGCCACGGCAAAAACCGAGCCGGCCCGGCCCCGGGUAAGGGUGAAAAGGUGAGGUAAGAGCUCACCGCUCGGAGCGCAAGCGACGAGGCAUGGUAAACCCCAUCGGGUGCAAGGCCAAAUAGGAAACCGCGGAGUGGCCCGCUCCACGUCUCCGGAGACGGAGACCGGUUUCGGGUACUGGCCGCAUAGACAAAUGAUUCUCUCCCCCGAACAAUUUCGGGGCAGACAGAAUUCGGCUUACAGCCCUUCCAAAACC